This 271-nucleotide ribosomal RNA is filed under the name Salmonella enterica. RNAcentral's name for it is "partial 23S ribosomal RNA". It matches the Rfam family "Bacterial large subunit ribosomal RNA", at positions 2660 to 2925 of the family's 2925-position model. The record is from RNAcentral. RNAcentral also lists the same sequence under 3 other names. Lineage: Bacteria; Pseudomonadati; Pseudomonadota; Gammaproteobacteria; Enterobacterales; Enterobacteriaceae.
AAUUGAGGGGGGCUGCUCCUAGUACGAGAGGACCGGAGUGGACGCAUCACUGGUGUUCGGGUUGUCAUGCCAAUGGCACUGCCCGGUAGCUAAAUGCGGAAAAGAUAAGUGCUGAAAGCAUCUAAGCACGAAACUUGCCCCGAGAUGAGUUCUCCCUGAGACCUUGAGUCUCCUGAAGGAACGUUAAAGACGAUGACGUUGAUAGGCCGGGUGUGUAAGCGCAGCGAUGCGUUGAGCUAACCGGUACUAAUGAACCGUGAGGCUUAACCUU